This 253-nucleotide ribosomal RNA is filed under the name uncultured bacterium. RNAcentral describes it as "partial 16S ribosomal RNA". It matches the Rfam family "Bacterial small subunit ribosomal RNA", at positions 524 to 776 of the family's 1533-position model. The record is from RNAcentral.
UACGAAGGGUGCAAACGUUGCUCGGAAUCAUUGGGCGUAAAGCGCACGUAGGCGGCCUGUUAAGUCGGAUGUGAAAUCCCUCGGCUCAACCGAGGACGUGCAUCCGAAACUGGCGGGCUCGAGUACUGAAGAGGGUCGCAGAAUUCCCGGUGUAGAGGUGAAAUUCGUAGAUAUCGGGAGGAAUACCAGUGGCGAAGGCGGCGACCUGGGCAGAUACUGACGCUGAGGUGCGAAAGCGUGGGGAGCAAACAGG